CGUGUAGGCGGACAAUCAAGUCCGGUGUGAAAGAUCUCGGCUUAACCGAGGGACCGCGCUGGAAACUGGUAGUCUUGAGUACUGGAGGGGAAGCUGGAAUUCCUGGUGUAGGGGUGAAAUCUGUAGAUAUCAGGAAGAACACCGGUGGCGAAGGCGAGCUUCUGGCCAGUAACUGACGCUGAGGCGCGAAAGCGUGGGGAGCGAACA
RNAcentral lists this ribosomal RNA (207 nucleotides) under uncultured bacterium. RNAcentral's name for it is "partial 16S ribosomal RNA". It matches the Rfam family "Bacterial small subunit ribosomal RNA", at positions 568 to 774 of the family's 1533-position model. The record is from RNAcentral.